CGGGGUGGAGUAAUGCUUGGGAAUCUAGCUUAUGGAGGGGGGUAACUACGGGAAACUGUAGCUAAUACCGCGUAAUAUCGAGAGAUUAAAGUGUGGGACCUUCGGGCCACAUGCCAUAGGAUGAGCCCAAGUGGGAUUAGGUAGUUGGUGAGGUAAAGGCUCACCAAGCCGACGAUCUCUAGCUGGUCUGAGAGGAUGACCAGCCACACUGGGACUGAGACACGGCCCAG
Molecule: ribosomal RNA, 230 nt
Filed under: uncultured bacterium
Lineage: Bacteria
Description: partial 16S ribosomal RNA
Rfam family: Bacterial small subunit ribosomal RNA
Source: RNAcentral